UGCCAGCCGCCGCGGUAAUACGGAGGGUGCAAGCAUUAAUCGGAUUUAUUGGGCGUAAAGAGCGCGUAGGCGGGAAAGAAAGUCAGACGUGAAAUCCCGGGGCUCACCCCCGGAACUGCGUUUGAAACUGUUAAUCUAGAAUCUCGGAGGGGGAUGGGGAAUUUCUCAUGUAGGGGUAAAAUCCGUAGAGAUGAGAAGGAACACCUGAGGCGAAGGCGCCAUCCUGGACGAGUAUUGACGCUGAGGCGCGAAAGCGUGGGGAGCAAACAGGAUUAGAUA
RNAcentral lists this ribosomal RNA (279 nucleotides) under uncultured bacterium. RNAcentral's name for it is "partial 16S ribosomal RNA". It matches the Rfam family "Bacterial small subunit ribosomal RNA", at positions 506 to 784 of the family's 1533-position model. The record is from RNAcentral.